UGGUCCUUGUGCUGCUCUGGCCAUUUUGUUCCUUAAAGGACAGAAGAGCGAGCAAGGGGGAUGGUAUAUCAACUGGAAAACGGCAAGUCCUGGAUGCUGAGUGGUGUCAAAAGGUUUGGUGACUUACACUUGCGAUGCUUGAGCUCGGGAAGUCUAGAUGAAUGUAGUCCUCACCCCUCGUCAAGGAAACUUCUCAACAGAUGGAGACAAUUACAGAAAACCACAACCAAUCAAAGUGCAGAGUGUGGAGCUCAGUCCCAAUGGACACAUUUAUACAGGGAACCAUGGAGCUGGCCUGGCCUAGCUGCCUCGAGAGGUAUGCAUCACAGGGUUUGCAGGUUAGAGUCCGUGGCUCCUGGAGCACAAUGUACCUUCCAGUUCCUGAGAGACCAAUGCACUCCCGCGGGCAGCAAAGCACUGCUUUGUGUUUCUCUGUACGUUCCCUUAGUAGUCAAGGAAGCAUGAAGGCUUGACAGGACAACUGAUAUUAGACAUUAACCUUGUGUACCCUGUAUGACUUGCAAACGUCACUGUAUCCUGGCAACUACAGCUGUAUGAUCCUGGCAAUUGUCAUUAUAGUCUGUAUCUGAUAAAGGUACAAAUAGUCUGAUUGCUCUCAAUAAAAUUGUCACAGGCUCAGUUGUGCUGUGGCCCCUCCAA
Peromyscus leucopus (white-footed mouse) is the source of this 660-nucleotide long non-coding RNA. RefSeq lists it as uncharacterized. The record is from RefSeq and is a predicted model, not a curated record. The transcript has 3 exons. NCBI's taxonomy places the organism in Eukaryota, Metazoa, Chordata, Mammalia, Rodentia, Cricetidae.